RNAcentral lists this ribosomal RNA (722 nucleotides) under uncultured bacterium. RNAcentral's name for it is "bacterial SSU rRNA". It matches the Rfam family "Bacterial small subunit ribosomal RNA", at positions 761 to 1482 of the family's 1533-position model. The record is from RNAcentral.
CAGGGGAGCGAAAGGGAUUAGAUACCCCUGUAGUCCUGGCCGUAAACGAUGAACACUAGGCGUCGGGGGAAUCGACCCCCUCGGUGUCGUAGCCAACGCGUUAAGUGUUCCGCCUGGGGAGUACGCACGCAAGUGUGAAACUCAAAGGAAUUGACGGGGGCCCGCACAAGCGGUGGAGUAUGUGGUUUAAUUCGAUGCAACGCGAAGAACCUUACCAGGGUUUGACAUCCUGCGAAUCCCUUGGAAACGAGGGAGUGCCUUCGGGAACGCAGUGACAGGUGGUGCAUGGCUGUCGUCAGCUCGUGUCGUGAGAUGUUGGGUUAAGUCCCGCAACGAGCGCAACCCACGUCUUUAGUUGCCAGCAUUUAGUUGGGCACUCUAGAGAGACCGCCGGUGAUAAACCGGAGGAAGGUGUGGAUGACGUCAAGUCAUCAUGCCCCUUACAUCCUGGGCUACACACGUACUACAAUGCUACGGACAAAGGGCAGCGAACUCGCGAGGGCAAGCAAAUCCCAUAAACCGUGGCUCAGUUCAGAUCGUAGGCUGCAACUCGCCUACGUGAAGGAGGAAUCGCUAGUAAUCGCAGGUCAGCAUACUGCGGUGAAUACGUUCCCGGGCCUUGUACACACCGCCCGUCACACCAUGGAAGUUAGCCACGCCCGAAGUCGUUACUCCAACCCUUGUGGAGGAGGACGCCGAAGGUGGGGCUGAUGACUGGGGUG